UACAGAGGUCUCAAGCGUUGUUCGGAUUUAUUGGGCGUAAAGAGCGUGUAGGCGGCCAGGUAGGUCUGCUGUGAAAACUCGAGGCUCAACCUCGAGACGUCGGCGGAAACCAUCUGGCUAGAGUCCGGAAGAGGAGAGUGGAAUUCCUGGUGUAGCGGUGAAAUGCGCAGAUAUCAGGAAGAACACCCGUGGCGAAGGCGGCUCUCUGGGACGGUACUGACGCUGAGACGCGAAAGCGUGGGGAGCGAACAGG
RNAcentral lists this ribosomal RNA (253 nucleotides) under uncultured bacterium. RNAcentral's name for it is "partial 16S ribosomal RNA". It matches the Rfam family "Bacterial small subunit ribosomal RNA", at positions 524 to 776 of the family's 1533-position model. The record is from RNAcentral.